This 1249-nucleotide ribosomal RNA is filed under the name Sesame phyllody phytoplasma. RNAcentral describes it as "bacterial SSU rRNA". It matches the Rfam family "Bacterial small subunit ribosomal RNA", at positions 153 to 1399 of the family's 1533-position model. Lineage: Bacteria; Bacillati; Mycoplasmatota; Mollicutes; Acholeplasmatales; Acholeplasmataceae. The record is from RNAcentral.
GAAACGACUGCUAAGACUGGAUAGGAAACAAAAAGGCAUCUUUUUGUUUUUAAAAGACCUUCUUACGAAGGUAUGCUUAAAGAGGGGCUUGCGCCACAUUAGUUAGUUGGUAGGGUAAAAGCCUACCAAGACGAUGAUGUGUAGCUGGACUGAGAGGUUGAACAGCCACAUUGGGACUGAGACACGGCCCAAACUCCUACGGGAGGCAGCAGUAGGGAAUUUUCGGCAAUGGAGGAAACUCUGACCGAGCAACGCCGCGUGAACGAUGAAGUAUUUCGGUAUGUAAAGUUCUUUUAUUGAAGAAGAAAAAGUAGUGGAAAAACUAUAUUGACGUUAUUCAAUGAAUAAGCCCCGGCUAACUAUGUGCCAGCAGCCGCGGUAAGACAUAGGGGGCGAGCGUUAUCCGGAAUUAUUGGGCGUAAAGGGUGCGUAGGCUGUUAGAUAAGUCUAUAAUUUAAUUUCAGUGCUUAACGCUGUCUUGUUAUAGAAACUGUCUUGACUAGAGUGAGAUAGAGGCAAGCGGAAUUCCAUGUGUAGCGGUAAAAUGUGUAAAUAUAUGGAGGAACACCAGAAGCGUAGGCGGCUUGCUGGGUCUUUACUGACGCUGAGGCACGAAAGCGUGGGUAGCAAACAGGAUUAGAUACCCUGGUAGUCCACGCCGUAAACGAUGAGUACUAAGUGUCGGGGUAAAACUCGGUACUGAAGUUAACACAUUAAGUACUCCGCCUGAGUAGUACGUACGCAAGUAUGAAACUUAAAGGAAUUGACGGGACUCCGCACAAGCGGUGGAUCAUGUUGUUUAAUUCGAAGAUACACGAAAAAUCUUACCAGGUCUUGACAUACUCUGCAAAGCUAUAGAAAUAUAGUGGAGGUUAUCAGGGAUACAGGUGGUGCAUGGUUGUCGUCAGUUCGUGUCGUGAGAUGUUAGGUUAAGUCCUAAAGCGAGCGCGACCCUUGUCGUCAAUUGCCAGCACGUAAUGGUGGGGACUUUAGCGAGACUGCCAAUUAAACAUUGGAGGAAGGUGAGGAUUACGUCAAAUCAUCAUGCCCCUUAUGAUCUGGGCUACAAACGUGAUACAAUGGCUGUGGCAAAGAGUAGCUGAAACGCGAGUUUUUAGCCAAUCUCAAAAAAGCAGUCUCAGUUCGGAUUGAAGUCUGUAACUCGACUUCAUGAAGUUGGAAUCGCUAGUAAUCGCGAAUCAGCAUGUCGCGGUGAAUACGUUCUCGGGUUUGUACACACCGCCCGUCA